This 31-nucleotide non-coding RNA is filed under the name Rattus norvegicus (Norway rat). Lineage: Eukaryota; Metazoa; Chordata; Mammalia; Rodentia; Muridae. The record is from RNAcentral.
UAUUGAUUGGAAUAUUCAAAGCCUGGGGUGG